UAGGUACUCCCUCCGUCCGAAAAUAGUUGUCUUCGAAAUGGAUGUAUCUAGACUUAUUUUAGUUAUAGAUACAUCCAUUUUAUUAUUUCUAGGACAAGUAUUUCCGGACGGAGGGAGUACAAC
Non-coding RNA from Hordeum vulgare subsp. vulgare (domesticated barley), 123 nucleotides. Lineage: Eukaryota; Viridiplantae; Streptophyta; Magnoliopsida; Poales; Poaceae. The record is from Rfam.